UACGAAGGGGGCUAGCGUUGCUCGGAUUGACUGGGCGUAAAGGGCGCGUAGGCGGUUUGUACAGUCAGACGUGAAAUUCCCGGGCUCAACCUGGGGGCUGCGUUUGAUACGUGCAGACUUGAGUUCGGAAGAGGGUCGUGGAAUUCCCAGUGUAGAGGUGAAAUUCGUAGAUAUCAGGAGGAACACCGGUGGCGAAGGCGGGACUCUGGGCCGAUACUGACGCUGAGGAGGCGAAAGCGUGGGGAGCAAACAGG
Molecule: ribosomal RNA, 254 nt
Filed under: uncultured bacterium
Lineage: Bacteria
Description: partial 16S ribosomal RNA
Rfam family: Bacterial small subunit ribosomal RNA
Source: RNAcentral